This 581-nucleotide ribosomal RNA is filed under the name Apiospora sacchari. Its description in RNAcentral is "eukaryotic LSU rRNA". The stretch from base 222 to 375 matches the Rfam family "5.8S ribosomal RNA". Lineage: Eukaryota; Fungi; Ascomycota; Sordariomycetes; Amphisphaeriales; Apiosporaceae. The record is from RNAcentral.
GGGGUUCAGGUCUCGUUGGUGACCAGCGGAGGGAUCAUUACAGAGUUAUACAACUCCCAUACCAUCUGUUAACCUACCCAGUUAUGCCUCGGCGUAAGCUCGGUUGGAGGCACCUGCAGCUACCCUGUAGUUGCGGACUGCCAACUCCAGCCGCGGCCCGCCGGCGGUACACUAAACUCUGUUUUAUUUUAUAUUCUGAGCGUCUUAUUUUAAUAAGUUAAAACUUUCAACAACGGAUCUCUUGGUUCUGGCAUCGAUGAAGAACGCAGCGAAAUGCGAUAAGUAAUGUGAAUUGCAGAAUUCAGUGAAUCAUCGAAUCUUUGAACGCACAUUGCGCCCAUCAGUAUUCUGGUGGGCAUGCCUGUUCGAGCGUCAUUUCAACCCUUAAGCCUAGCUUAGUGUUGGGAAUCUGCUGUACUGCAGUUCCUUAAAGACAGUGGCGGAGCGGCGGUAGUCCUCUGAGCGUAGUAAUUUAUUUCUCGCUUUUGUCAGGCUCUGUCCUCCCGCCAUAAAACCCCCAAUUUUUUAGUGGUUGACCUCGGAUCAGGUAGGAAUACCCGCUGAACUUAAGCAUAUCAAAA